GGCCUAACACAUGCAAGUCGAGCGGUAGCGGGCCUGACCACUCUCGAGUGGUUCAGGUGCCGACGAGCGGCGGACGGGUGCGUAACACGUAGGAAUCUGCCCGGUAGUGGGGGAUAGCCCGGAGAAAUUCGGAUUAAUACCGCAUACGCCCUAAGGGGGAAAGCAGGGGAUCGGUUCGCCGACCUUGCGCUAUCGGAUGAGCCUGCGUCGGAUUAGCUGGUUGGUGGGGUAAAGGCCUACCAAGGCGACGAUCCGUAGCUGGUCUGAGAGGAUGAUCAGCCACACUGGGACUGAGACACGGCCCAGACUCCUACGGGAGGCAGCAGUGGGGAAUAUUGCACAAUGGGCGAAAGCCUGAUGCAGCCAUGCCGCGUGUGUGAAGAAGGCCCUAGGGUUGUAAAGCACUUUCAGUGGGGAGGAAAGGUCGAAGGUUAAUACCCUUUGGCUGUGACGUUACCCACAGAAGAAGCACCGGCUAACUCCGUGCCAGCAGCCGCGGUAAUACGGAGGGUGCGAGCGUUAAUCGGAAUUACUGGGCGUAAAGCGUGCGUAGGCGGCCAUUUAAGUUGGAUGUGAAAGCCCCGGGCUCAACCUGGGAACUGCAUCCAAAACUGGGUGGCUUGAGUGCGAGAGAGGAGUGUGGAAUUUCCUGUGUAGCGGUGAAAUGCGUAGAUAUAGGAAGGAACACCAGUGGCGAAGGCGACACUCUGGCUUGACACUGACGCUGAGGUACGAAAGCGUGGGGAGCAAACAGGAUUAGAUACCCUGGUAGUCCACGCCGUAAACGAUGUCUACUAGUUGUCGGUGGUCUUGUACUGCUGGUAACGCAGCUAACGCGAUAAGUAGACCGCCUGGGGAGUACGG
This 864-nucleotide ribosomal RNA is filed under the name uncultured bacterium. RNAcentral's name for it is "bacterial SSU rRNA". It matches the Rfam family "Bacterial small subunit ribosomal RNA", at positions 45 to 885 of the family's 1533-position model. The record is from RNAcentral.